UUUAUAGAAACUUCUACUUAGAACGCACACGUCCUGUGUUGGGCGUAGAAGUCACCACAUCCUGUGGA
This 68-nucleotide small RNA is filed under the name Alteribacillus persepolensis. RNAcentral describes it as "Bacillus sp. HS-136 Bacillaceae-1 RNA". It matches the Rfam family "Bacillaceae-1 RNA". Lineage: Bacteria; Bacillati; Bacillota; Bacilli; Caryophanales; Bacillaceae. The record is from Rfam by way of RNAcentral.